ACAAAUUCUUUCAGGAAUGCCACAGAUGUACAUGCUCCCGCAGAUCUAUAUUUUCCAAUGUUGUUAACAUCAGCCAGCUGGCAACCUACAACCUGUCUUGUAUAAUGUUUGAAGAGAGGCAUCCUCCAGACACGGUCCCCUGUUUCAAUGCUGGCCUGGAAGAGCUUGUUCCAGAGCCAGGAUGAAUUGGUAAAGACCCCAGUGGAACCUGACCCCAAAGCUACAUCUAUGACACCUGUUAAGGUGGUGGCAUUGAGGAUGACCUUCAGGUUAAAUGUGUGCACGUAACAGAGCACAUCAGCCAGUAUGAGCCUCCCCUCGGCAUCAGUGUUAUCAACCUGGAUGGUCUUCCCGUUCCUGGCUCUACCAACAUCCCCCAGCUUGUUGGCCUUGCCGCUGGGCAUAUUUUCACAAAGGGGGGCCAGACCUAUAAUAUUAAUGGGCAAAUUGAGCUUUGCAGCAGACACAAUGGCUGAGCAUAUAGUUGUAGCUCCUCCCAUGUCGGCCCUCAUGAGGUCCAUAUUUGCAGAAGCCUUGAUGGAGAUACCACCACUGUCAAAGGUAAUUCCUUUCCCAACAAACAAGGGGUGGUUUGUCUGCAUUGGGGCUGCCUAUGUAGUGAAUUUCCAAGAAGACUGAGGGCUCGUCAGAUCCUUUGGCCACACUGAGGAAUGAUCCCAUUGCCUGUUCCUCAAUCCAAGACCUGGGUCUGAUAUGAACCUCGGUUUACUACAAGCACUUUUGAGAUUCUUCUCAAUAAUUUCGGCAAAUCUGGUUGGCAUCAUCUCGCUGGCUGGCGUCUCCAUCAUGCCAAGUUCUGCCGAGAAGCAAACAGGACUCCUUUCUGCCAGGCCUCCUGAUUCCCAGUUCCAUAGAGCUUCACCGACAUAGCCAUCUUCUUUUUUUGCUUUAGGUCAUCGUAUUCAUAGAGACCAAGCACCGCGCCCUCCUCAGCAGCCUGAGCGUCUCUACAGGGAUCCACCUCCACGGAAGAGAGCUCUGGGUCUUGAAUCUGCCUGCAUCCUGCUGCAACAGCAGCUCUGAUGUUUUCUUUGCCUUCCUGCCAGUUUUCCUGUUCGUCGAUUCUGGCUACCUUUUUGCCGAGGCCAACUAGCACCACGCUGGGGAAGUCCUGAUGCAGACCAUAAAAGGUUCGAGUCUUGCCUGCCUUCAGAGGUGGUCCAGAUAUGUUCAAAGUCUCUCUCAGCUUUCCAGCUAUCAAUUUAUCAAGAUUCUCUCCUGCACUUGUGAACUGUGGCACAUCAUCUUCUUUUUCUUUGGAAUAGAUUCCUAAAACAAGGCCCUUUGUCAUGUCUGCAGCGGAGAGACCCCGGCUCCCGAAACAUCUCACAGCCAGACGUCAGACAAUGACUCGCCCCACCCAAUGUUUGUAUUUUAGUAGAGAGAGGGUUUCUCUAUGUUGGUCAGGCUGGUCUCAAACCUCGACCUCAGUUGAUCUGUCUGCCUCGGUCUCCCAAAGUGCUGAGAUUACAAGCGUGAGCCACUGC
Molecule: long non-coding RNA, 1508 nt
Filed under: Pan troglodytes (chimpanzee)
Lineage: Eukaryota; Metazoa; Chordata; Mammalia; Primates; Hominidae
Description: lincRNA
Source: RNAcentral